Molecule: non-coding RNA, 74 nt
Organism: Ilex paraguariensis (yerba mate)
Lineage: Eukaryota; Viridiplantae; Streptophyta; Magnoliopsida; Aquifoliales; Aquifoliaceae
Source: the annotation of a GenBank genome assembly
CACAGAAAUAGCUUAGUGGUGGAGUAUAGCCUUGCCAAGAUCGAGGUUGAGGGUUCAAAUCCCUCCAGUUGUGA